Camellia sinensis is the source of this 2272-nucleotide non-coding RNA. Lineage: Eukaryota; Viridiplantae; Streptophyta; Magnoliopsida; Ericales; Theaceae. The record is from RefSeq and is a predicted model, not a curated record.
CCUCUUUCUCUUUCAUUACUCUCAGCAGGCAAAACAAGAAUUUGUAAGGACAAAUCGUUUUGAGACUUUUCCCAAAUAAAACCCUAGCACCUCAUUGUAUGCUCAAUGUCAACAUCUCUUCAGCCUCUUCCAAUCUCCCUCACAGUGGACUCGCUAUCCCUUCUCCCUUAGAAAGGUAUGGCCUCUCUCUCUCUCUCUCUCUCUGUGUGUGUUUUUUAAUGGUGGGGUAAGGGUUUGCGGUAACGUGGUGGCGCUGUGGUAGGGAUGGAAUGGUGUAACGGGAGAUGCGGUGUGAGAGGAGGGCUAGUGGUGCUAUAGUAGGGAGGGAAAGGGCGGGCAUUUCAAAUUUGUGGUGGAGAAAAAGAGUAGUUUUGUGGUUAUGGAUAAGAGGGAAAGAGGCAAUGGAUCUAUGGUAGUAGAGGGUUGGAGGGGCUGUGGCAAUGGGCGGAAGGGGAAGUGUAACCAGGUGGGAUAGGGGUUCCUAAAGGGAAUGAAGAGGUUGGGGAGCUAUAAGAGGGUUGGGCGAGGGAGACGUGUAAAAGCCCUUCUUGUGUUUGAUAAAAUACCUGUGUGAAACAUUGCCCUAUUGUUGGGUAUUUUUCUCUUCUCUUCUUCUCUUCUCUUCUUAUAAUUCAUAGAAAUACUGUUGUGCUUUUGAUUAUUGGACUGAGUUGCUUAUGGUCAUUGAGAUUUUACGGGUCAAAGUUGCCACAAGAUGAAGGUAAGAAGAUUUUCUCAUUUUAUAUUAUAGUUAUUUCUGUUUGGGUGCCAAGAAAAUGCAGAAAUAAUCAAUCAAACUAUAGAAAUUUUGAGUGUUGGUGUUUCAUUAUAUGGGUUCAGUUAAAAUGAGCCUGUCUUUGGUAUUUUGGGUUAGUUUAGUUUGAUUUUGGGGGAAAAUCAAAUAAAUAGCAAACAAAUGAAUUGUUGAAGAAUGGGACACAAAUCUGAGAUAAUUUGUAUUCCAUAAUGUGAAAAUUCUGUGUCCACUUUUGAUUUACUCUUGGUUUAUAUUUCUUGUUUGGAUGGAAAAAGGUUAAUUGCACUAUUAUUGCAUUCUUAUAGUUAAAACUAAUUAAACUCUUCAUCUCAUUUAUUUUAUUUUAUUGUGACAUGGUGGCUGAUUGAUCAUCUCAAGUUUCUUGAUAAUCCAUUGUACAUUGGUGGUGACUCCUACUCUGGUUUGGUUGUUCCAUCAUUGUUCAGGAAAUUUUAACUGGUACCUUGUGUUCACAAAAACUUUUUUUCUUAUUAUUUUUACUAACUUUAUUUUUAUCUCUUAAAUUAUCUUCCUUGUUUUUUAUUUUAUCCUUAAAUUAUUAAUUUCAUCUAUUAAGUCUCUAUUUCUAAUUUCAGCUGAUGUGGUCUAAUUAGAGACAGUUGUCCAAAUCAAUAAUUGUUAAAUCCUAAUUUGAUGGGUAGAAAUGUCAUUUCAAAAAUUGAACAACUGAAACAAUAUAAUCAACCUAUGUGUUUGGCUAUAGAGUGUAAAUUGUUUAAUAUAGCAUAAGUCCAAAGAUAGGAGUUUGGUUGUGUGAUUUAUGUUGUUAAAAUUGUAAAAUUAUAUUUUGGCCCAGUUGGUUAGGUUUCUAUGAUUAUUGGUUUGGUUGAACUAUUUUCAAUUAAAUUAUAUGAAAUGAAAUCAGAAUUUUAUAGAUGAAAUUAGUAGUUUAUAAAUAGAAUAGAAAAAAUGGUAAAACUUUUCUAACUUUGCGGUGACUAACUUUGUUUUUUGUAGGUAAUGAACUUGGGCAUCAACCAACAAUGAACCUACAAUGACAGAUGUCCAUGAUGACCAAAAUUCAGCGACCCCAUAUGCUCAUCGUGUAUCACUCAUUUCAGAUGAAAUCUAUGAGUCAACUAAACAAAGUUGCUAUGGUGAAUAUAUGAAUAUAGAUCCAAACAAUGCAGCAUGUCUAUAUUAUCUUCAAAUUGUCUCUGAGAUUUGAUGAUGCAAUAGCAGCGGCUCAAAGAGCAGCAUGGCUGGACUCAAGCAGCAAGGAAGUGAACAUGGUGGUUAGGAGUACACGGGCGGUGGCAAUGGCUCUAUCCAAUGGUAACGAUUUGUUCAGGGGAUAAAGAUACUCAGAGGCUUGUGUUGCAUAUGGAGAGGGACUCGACCAUGACCCCUACAACUCGGUGUUGUUGUGCAACAGAGCCACUUGCAGGUCCAAACUUAGUCAAUUUGAGAAAGCAAUGAAGGACUGGACUGCUGCCCUUAAUGUGCGCCCAUCUUACAGGAAAGCCAGAUUAAGAAGAGUCAAUUGCUAUGCCA